CCGGCCAAGUCCUCCACAUCCACUGCUGGAACCGCCGUCAAGGUCGCCGCCGCCGCACCCAAAUCGAAGGCGAAGGCGAAGCCCAAAGCAGACGCCGAUGCGGUCAAGCCCAAGAGAAACGUCAACAGGAACGCUGGCAUUCUGAAGCCGAUCUUCCAGAUCUUCACCAAGAACUCCGCCGCCACCGCCAUUAUCAACCUCCACCACCUCACAACAACCGCUCAUUGACCGUGAAAACCUUAAGUCCGAGCAUUCUCAUCAUCAUCGUCGUCGUCACCAUCGUCGCCUCAUUCUCCCUCUGCCAAAUCCAACAACCGCUUCCUCCGCCAUGUCACUCCCUCUUCCGGCGACGACGCCCACGCCCGAGUAUCUCCGGCCGAAUCCGCUGCCACCGCCAAUCCGGUCGCCUCGCUCCCGGUCUUCUCCAUCAAGCACCGCCGAGCCUCCUCCACUGCGGUCGUCGCCGCCGACUGUGCUGUCUGCCUCUCCAAGUUCGAGCACGACGACCAACUCCGGCUACUCCCUCUCUGCUGUCACGCCUUCCACGUAUCGUGCAUCGACACGUGGCUCCACUCCCAGCAGACCUGCCCGUUCUGCCGGUCGCCUAUUUCCGCGUCCGACUCCG
This 625-nucleotide long non-coding RNA is filed under the name Rosa chinensis. Its description in RNAcentral is "sRNA RchiOBHm_Chr4g0438591". Lineage: Eukaryota; Viridiplantae; Streptophyta; Magnoliopsida; Rosales; Rosaceae. The record is from RNAcentral.